Rana temporaria (common frog) is the source of this 112-nucleotide small nucleolar RNA. RefSeq annotates it as small nucleolar RNA SNORD89. NCBI's taxonomy places the organism in Eukaryota, Metazoa, Chordata, Amphibia, Anura, Ranidae. The record is from RefSeq and is a predicted model, not a curated record. The transcript has a single exon.
GCAGAGGAAUGAUGACAUAAAAGGCCGAAUUACAGUGCUACCCUAAGCAGUUAACUCUCAUUGGGUGGCAUGAUGACAAAAAUUCCUCAAGCGAUAAAUAACUGACCUCUGC